Molecule: long non-coding RNA, 552 nt
Organism: Tupaia belangeri chinensis (Chinese tree shrew)
Lineage: Eukaryota; Metazoa; Chordata; Mammalia; Scandentia; Tupaiidae
Exons: 5
Source: RefSeq, a predicted model, not a curated record
UGGUUACUGCCAAGGCUUCUACUGGAAUGUCAUUUCUGAAGAUAUGACCAGAAAGCUAAGGAACGGAGGUAGAUACCAAGAAAGCCAAUGCAGAGAAGCUCUUGGAGACAUUGCCUGGUACCGUAAACAGUUUUGCCAGGCAGAUCACACAUGAUUUGGAAUGGAAUUUACUUUACUGCAAAUGUCAUAGAAUAUUGAUAUCCACUAAGUUUAUUGCAUUCAAUAUUCAGUUUAAGAGGUGGUCUUUCUGAAAGUGGAGUCCACGAAUGAAGGCAAAGAAAGCAUUUCCAAUGCUUAUUAUUCAGCAAGGAUAUUCCUGAACAAGAGACAACCUCAUUUGACCUUUACUUGAAUACAGACAUCCAAUUCUCUCCAAUUCAAGAAUCCUCUGAAUUAUCCAGAGAAUUAUAAAUAGUAGUUAAGCAUUCCGGCCAUGGAUAUUAGAGGUGGCAGUGAACAUCUAAGCAGAAGUUGAUCCAAUUUCACACUUUCAGAGGCGGAUGGACAAAGAGAGAAGCCAAGCUAAGCUGUGUUGCUUUCUUUGGCCUAGUA